ACUCAAGUUACAUGAGUCACCUACAAAACAAAAGGUUAGCACAAUAUAGACAAGCAAACAUCAAUCAAAUUGGUAUGAUCUUGGAAGCACUAUGCUCAACCUGAAACAGAUGAACUCAACAUAAGUCCAAAGGACCACUAGGGCUAGCCUAGGGUCAAAGAUGAAAGAAAAAGUCAAGGCAGCAAGGAAAAGUCAACUCAAAGUCAAAGUCA
This 212-nucleotide long non-coding RNA is filed under the name Lathyrus oleraceus (garden pea). RNAcentral's name for it is "Pisum sativum (pea) long non-coding RNA (PSAT_LNC004408)". The record is from RNAcentral. Lineage: Eukaryota; Viridiplantae; Streptophyta; Magnoliopsida; Fabales; Fabaceae.